RNAcentral lists this ribosomal RNA (405 nucleotides) under uncultured bacterium. Its description in RNAcentral is "bacterial SSU rRNA". It matches the Rfam family "Bacterial small subunit ribosomal RNA", at positions 370 to 772 of the family's 1533-position model. The record is from RNAcentral.
AAUGGGCGAGAGCCUGAACCAGCCACGUCGCGUGCAGGAAGAAUGUCCUAUGGAUUGUAAACUGCUUUUGUAGGGGAAUAAUUGUAUCCACGUGUGGAUAUUUGCAUGUACCUUACGAAUAAGGAUCGGCUAACUCCGUGCCAGCAGCCGCGGUAAUACGGAGGAUCCGAGCGUUAUCCGGAUUUAUUGGGUUUAAAGGGUGCGUAGGCGGACUUAUAAGUCAGCGGUGAAAUUUUGCAGCUUAACUGCAAACGUGCCGUUGAAACUGUAGGUCUUGAGUGUAGAUAAGGUAGGCGGAAUGUGUUGUGUAGCGGUGAAAUGCAUAGAUAUGACACAGAACCCCGAUUGCGAAGGCAGCUUACCGGGUUACCACUGACGCUGAUGCACGAAAGCGUGGGGAUCAAA